Molecule: ribosomal RNA, 720 nt
Filed under: uncultured Planctomycetota bacterium
Lineage: Bacteria; Pseudomonadati; Planctomycetota
Description: bacterial SSU rRNA
Rfam family: Bacterial small subunit ribosomal RNA
Source: RNAcentral
GAGCACGUAGGUGGGUUUGUAAGUCAGACGUGAAAGCCUUCUGUUCAACGGAAGAAUUGCAUCUGAAACUACAAACCUUGAGUGUAGGAGGGGAGAAUGGAACUUCUGGUGGAGCGGUGAAAUGCGUAGAUAUCAGAAGGAACGCCGGCGGCGAAAGCGAUUCUCUGGCCUAUUACUGACACUCAGUGUGCGAAAGCUAGGGGAGCAAACGGGAUUAGAUACCCCGGUAGUCCUAGCCGUAAACGAUGGGCACUAAGUAGAGGGAAUUACCGAUGUUCUCUCUGCCGUAGCUAACGCAUUAAGUGCCCCGCCUGGGGAGUACGGCCGCAAGGCUAAAACUCAAAAGAAUUGACGGGGGCUCGCACAAGCGGUGGAGCAUGUGGCUUAAUUCGAUGCAACGCGAAAAACCUUACCGGGGCUUGACAUGGUAGAAGUAGAAACCCGAAAGGGUAACGAACGGUAUCCAGUCCGUGACUAUCACAGGUGUUGCAUGGCUGUCGUCAGCUCGUGUCGUGAGACGUUGGGUUAAGUCCCCUAACGAGCGAAACCCUUGUUUUUAGUUGCCAGCGGGUUGUGCCGGGCACUCUAGAAAGACUGCCGUCGUCAAGACGGAGGAAGGUGGGGAUGGCGUCAAGUCAUCAUGGCCCUUAUGCCCCGGGCUGCACACGUGCUACAAUGGCCGGUACAAACGGAAGCGAAGCCGAGAGGUGAAGCGAAUCC